RNAcentral lists this long non-coding RNA (757 nucleotides) under Coturnix japonica (Japanese quail). Its description in RNAcentral is "lncRNA (ENSCJPG00005002466.1)". Lineage: Eukaryota; Metazoa; Chordata; Aves; Galliformes; Phasianidae. The record is from RNAcentral.
GGCCGCCAUAUUGGAUCCCAUUGGCAGCCAUAUUGGGCGCCAUCUUGGAUCCCAUUGGCAGCCAUAUUGGAUCUCAUUGGCUGCCAUCUUGGAUCCCAUUGGGCGCCAUAUUGGAUCCCAUUGGGCGCCAUAUUGGAUCCCAUUGGGCGCCAUAUUGGGCGCCAUAUUGGAUCCCAUUGGGUGCCAUAUUGGAUCCCAUUGGGUGCCAUCUUGGAUCCCAUUGGCCACCAUAUUGGAUCCCAUUAGCCGCCAUAUUGGAUCCCAUUAGCCGCCAUAUUGGAAUCCAUUGGCCGCCAUAUUGGGCGCCAUAUUGGAUCCCAUUGGGCGCCAUAUUGGAUCCCAUUGGGGUUCCCAUUGGGCGCCAUAUUGGAUCCCAUUGGGCGCCAUAUUGGAUCCCAUUGACCGCUAUAUUGGGCACCAUAUUGGAUCCCAUUGGGUGCCAUAUUGGAUCCCCUUGGCUGCCAUAUUGGAUCCCAUUGGCCGCCAUAUUGGGCGCCAUCUUGGAUCCCAUUGGCUGCCAUAUUGGAUCCCAUUAGCCGCCAUAUUGGGCGCCAUAUUGCAUCCCAUUGGGCGCCAUCUUGGAUCCCAUUGGGCGCCAUCUUGGAUCCCACUGGCCGCCAUCUUGGAUCCCAUUGGCCGCCAUCUUGGAUCCCAUUGGCCGCCAUAUUGGAUUGACCCAUUGUGGUUCCCAUUUGUAGGGUCCCCCCCUCGCCCCCCAUAUCCCAACCCCAUAACCGUGACCCCACUGCUGCCCCAU